This 859-nucleotide long non-coding RNA is filed under the name Suricata suricatta (meerkat). RNAcentral's name for it is "lncRNA (ENSSSUG00005021135.1)". The record is from RNAcentral. Lineage: Eukaryota; Metazoa; Chordata; Mammalia; Carnivora; Herpestidae.
CUGCUGCCUUGGACCCUCAGGGACCCUCAUGGGUCACAGGCCCCUUUGGUCAGGCCUGGCUGCCCCUCCUGAGGGGUGCCCUGCAUGGACGCCAUCUCCCGUCACCGUGCUGGCCGCUGUGCGGUGCUUCUGCUCCCUCUGAGCUCUCCAAAAGGGGUGUUUUGUCCUCGUAAAGUUGCCUGCAGACGACCAGGGAGGGGCAUUUUCUGUGCUGGCGGCCGCUCUCCCUCUCCUCUGGUGCCCUCACCCCAGGUCCCUGUUUUCUCUGAGUUCUCUGCCGGGAAGGAGGGUUUCAGGGAAGUAGAAUACGGUGCUGAAAGACAGGUUUACUGCUCAAGAUUGCUGAGAGCGUCAAGUCACGAGGAGGAAGAUGGAGGGCCCUUCCGAGUCACAGGGGCGCGCGUGCAUGCGUGCGUGUGCAUGUGUGCAGCAUGCGUGCGUGCGUGCGGCAUGCGUGUGCGUGCGUGUGUGCAGCAUGCGUGCGUGCGGCAUACGUGUGCGUGCAUGCGUGCGUGCAUGCGUGCACGUGUGUGCGUGCACGUGUGCGUGUGUGUGCGUGUGCGUGCGUGUGCAUGUGUGUGUGCGUGUGUGCAUGUGUGCAUGUGUGUGCGCCUGCGUGUGUGUGCAUGUGUGCAUGUGUGUGCGCACGUGUGAUUCCUGGGUGUCCCAACAACUGAGAGAGAAGUUUCCAGGUCCCCUUUGGUUGUCAAAACAAAAGUGCUUUAAAAUGCGAAGCUGAGGACACACCUGCAGCCUUGAGAGGCAGAGCAGGCGGUGCGGCCGUGGUGAUUAGCCGUGACAUGACUCCGUGAUGGAUUAGUUUAGGGCUUCUGGCUGUGAAAAUAAAAAAGCCUCAGAG